UUCGCAAUGCCCGAAAGGGUGACGAAGCGACGCCGCGUGCGGGAAGAAGGCCUUCGGGCUGUAAACCGCUGUCGGGAGUUAAGAAAUGUAAGGAUGUUAAUAGCAUCUUUGCUUGACUAAGGCUCCGGAGGAAGCCACGGCUAACUCUGUGCCAGCAGCCGCGGUAAUACAGAGGCGGCAAGCGUUGUUCGGAAUUAUUGGGCGUAAAGAGCACGUAGGCGGCUAUGUAAGUCGGUUGUGAAAGCCUUCCGCUCAACGGGAGAACAGCAUCCGAUACUGCAUGGCUUGAGUGCGGGAGGGGAGAGUGGAACUUCUGGUGGAGCGGUGAAAUGCGUAGAUAUCAGAAGGAACGCCGGCGGCGAAAGCGGCUCUCUGGCCCAUAACUGACGCUGAGUGUGCGAAAGCUAGGGGAGCAAACGGGAUUAGAUACCCCGGUAGUCCUAGCCGUAAACGAUGGGCACUAAGUAGAGGGGUUUU
Molecule: ribosomal RNA, 477 nt
Filed under: uncultured bacterium
Lineage: Bacteria
Description: bacterial SSU rRNA
Rfam family: Bacterial small subunit ribosomal RNA
Source: RNAcentral